ACUCCUACGGGAGGCAGCAGUGGGGAAUAUUGCACAAUGGGCGCAAGCCUGAUGCAGCCAUGCCGCGUGUGUGAAGAAGGCCUUCGGGUUGUAAAGCACUUUCAGUCGUGAGGAAGGUAGUGUAGUUAAUAGCUGCAUUAUUUGACGUUAGCGACAGAAGAAGCACCGGCUAACUCCGUGCCAGCAGCCGCGGUAAUACGGAGGGUGCGAGCGUUAUCCGGAUUUAUUGGGUUUAAAGGGUCCGUAGGCGGAUUAAUAAGUCAGUGGUGAAAUCCCAUCGCUUAACGAUGGAACUGCAUUGAUACUGUUAGUCUUGAAUGAGGGUGCAGUGGUUGGAAUGUGUAGUGUAGCGUGAAAUGCAUAGAUAUUACACAGAACACCGAUUGCGAAGGCAGAUCACUAACCCUAAAUUGACGCUGAGGGACGAAAGCGUGGGGAGCGAAACAGGAUUAGAUACCCUGUAGGCUCUG
Molecule: ribosomal RNA, 470 nt
Filed under: uncultured bacterium
Lineage: Bacteria
Description: bacterial SSU rRNA
Rfam family: Bacterial small subunit ribosomal RNA
Source: RNAcentral